RNAcentral lists this ribosomal RNA (698 nucleotides) under Falsibacillus sp. RNAcentral's name for it is "bacterial SSU rRNA". It matches the Rfam family "Bacterial small subunit ribosomal RNA", at positions 56 to 736 of the family's 1533-position model. The record is from RNAcentral. Lineage: Bacteria; Bacillati; Bacillota; Bacilli; Caryophanales; Bacillaceae.
UGCAGUCGAGCGAAUGGAUUGAGAGCUUGCUCUCUUUAAGUUAGCGGCGGACGGGUGAGUAACACGUGGGUAACCUGCCCUUAAGACUGGGAUAACUCCGGGAAACCGGGGCUAAUACCGGAUAACAUUUUGAACUGCAUGGAUGUAAAUUGAAAGGCGGUUUCGGCUGUCCCUUAUGGAUGGACCCGCGUCGCAUUAGCUAGUUGGUGAGGUAACGGCUCACCAAGGCAACCAUGCAUAGCCAACCUGAGAGGGUGAUCGGCCACACUGGGACUGAGACACGGCCCAGACUCCUACGGGAGGCAGCAAUAGGGAAUCUUCCGCAAUGGACGAAAGUCUGACGGAGCAACGCCGCGUGAGUGAUGAAGGCUUUCGGGUCGUAAAACUCUGUUGUUAGGGAAGAACAAGUGCUAGUUGAAUAAGCUGGCACCUUGACGGUACCUAACCAGAAAGCCACGGCUAACUACGUGCCAGCAGCCGCGGUAAUACGUAGGUGGCAAGCGUUAUCCGGAAUUAUUGGGCGUAAAGCGCGCGCAGGUGGUUUCUUAAGUCUGAUGUGAAAGCCCACGGCUCAACCGUGGAGGGUCAUUGGAAACUGGGAGACUUGAGUGCAGAAAGGAAAGUGGAAUUCCAUGUGUAGCGGUGAAAUGCGUAGAGAUAUGGAGGAACACCAGUGGCGAAGGCGACUUUCUGGUCUG